GUCCACGCCCUAAACGAUGAUGACUAGUUGUUGGAGGAGUUAAAUCCUUUAGUAACGCAGCUAACGCGCGAAGUCAUCCGCCUGGGGAGUACGGUCGCAAGAUUAAAACUCAAAGGAAUUGACGGGGGCCCGCACAAGCGGUGGAUGAUGUGGUUUAAUUCGAUGCAACGCGAAAACCUUACCUACCCUUGACAUGUGCGGAACCCUGCAGAGAUGCAGGGGUGCCCGAAAGGGAACCGCAACACAGGUGCUGCAUGGCUGUCGU
Molecule: ribosomal RNA, 265 nt
Filed under: uncultured bacterium
Lineage: Bacteria
Description: partial 16S ribosomal RNA
Rfam family: Bacterial small subunit ribosomal RNA
Source: RNAcentral